RNAcentral lists this transfer RNA (57 nucleotides) under Ascaridia sp. GHL-2013. RNAcentral describes it as "tRNA-Asn". Lineage: Eukaryota; Metazoa; Nematoda; Chromadorea; Rhabditida; Ascaridiidae. The record is from RNAcentral.
UAAAAGUUAGUUUAUGGGGAGAAUGUUUGAUUGUUGAUCAAGAGGAGAGACUUUUAG